AACGUCUACAGGAGACGGAGAGGGAGAGGGAGAGGGAGAGGGAGAGGGAGAAAAGGGUCGACAAUCGUCAACCAUCGCGAUCCACCGGCCUCCAUCCUCCGCUGCGCGAUCGAUUGGUUGGUCAAGGCGAGCGAUGUAGCAUCCACCUUCGAUCUUGGCCGUGCUCCCACCUCGACCCCAAAACUGAUCGGUGCCAGCAUUGGCCGGCGGCGGCUCAAAACAACCAACCAACUUCCACGGCAGGUAACAGGGCGGCGUUUGGCUCUUCGCGUCGCCCUCCCGUCAUUAUUACUAGUAGUUGUUGCUUCGAUUUAUGUCGAUCUUGUUCCGAUUCGAACAGGAUUCAGGGUAUGCAGGGCAAUGAUUGAGUUAUUUGAUAUCAAAAGGCUUUCGUAUUCUCGGUUGAUUUACUCUUCUAUAGAUUGUUGAAAUCUAUGGCCGUAUUUCUUAAAACCCUGGGUGUGUGGUGUGUCCAAAUGAUGGUUUGGUCCUCAACAUUGAUUCCGAGGAUCCACAAGCUGGUUGCAUAAAUCACAAAGCACGUUAACCUGUUGGUGGCAGGGGCCAUGUUGGCUUGUACACAAUUUUUGGAUUGAUACUUUGGUACUCUGUGAGUGUAGUUCAGAGAAUAAGCGGCUCCUUCCAUGACAGAGUUCGUUUAGUUUAGUUUUGUGGUGUUAUCUUUUUGUGCAACCAAAGAUCUUUUGGUUUUUGACACUCAUUCUUCCAAGACCAAAACCGUGUUCCCACCGCCAGCUCUUUGUUAUAGAUUUAUUGUUAAGAUAAAUAUCUUGAAAAUUUGAAGUGGUUCUGCUUUCUGAUCUCCAGUUUCUUGGCAACCACUAAAGGAACAAAAUUUAAUGAUCUACAAUAUUAAUAAUUAUUCCUCUUAAUGCGUAUUAUCAUUUGGUUCUUAGCUUGAUAUUUUUAUGUAAUAUCACAAAUUUACCCAAAUUGGAAUUAAUUUUCAGAUUUUUCUUAUUUUGGAGGAACUAAACUAAGAAUAUGAGUCGAGGUUUGAAAUUUCAUUAUGUACAAAAGCUCGGUACGGUACGGUACGCCUAAUUUAGACAUAAAGUCCUCCGAAAAAUAUCUGAAAAAUAAAAAAAGUUAGGAAAUGAUUUUUAAGUUAGAAAUAAAUAUACAUUUAGUAUAGGUUUAGCUUGGCACACCGCAACUUUAAUCACAUGUUAUAAUAGAUAUAUAUUAAUUUCAAUACUAUAAACAUGUUAUAUUUACUCAUUAAUUAGUUACUUCUCUUUCAGUUAAAUAAUAGAUAUUAAAGACACUGAAUUAACCCAAAAUCGAUCAAAUUUUGAUUAAAUCAUCAUUAAAAUCAUUAAUCAUAACAUUAAAUAACUUUAAUAAAAUAUAAUUAAACAUAUUUUAUCAUCAUAAAUAUCUUUCAAUAUUUAAUAUUAAAUAUUUGACAAGUGUCUAAUUUUGAAUAAAUUAAUAUUAAAUAUAUUAAUAAUAAUAUUAAAUAUCUUAAUUAAUAUCUAAUUAAAGAAAAAGAAUACAUACACUUGAUUAAAAAGUUCUUCCUCUUCAUCCUCCCAAAUUAUCCUCAAUUCAAUUCAUAAAUCAUUACUUUGUAGAGUUUAGGAGAGUGCAAAUGUGAGAAUAAGAAAGAGAAUAUGAGAGAAAAUGAAUUUGAGAUAGUUUAAGAGAGUGUGAGAGUGAAAUGAAGUAAAAUAUGGGGGAUGAUGUAUUUAAAAACUUAUGAGAAAGGGCUCCAAUGAUCAAAUUGACUAUUGAAACAUUGAUACAUGUCAGUAACAGUCGAUUUCGACCGUUACUAACUUUUGUCGGUAAUGGUCGAAAUUUUGACCAUUAUUAAUUGUACUAGGUAGUAAUGAUUGAAAUCAACCGUUACCACCCGAUACAGCCCCGUAUCGUUCGAUACAGGCCUAAAUCAAGUGUAUCGCCCAGUAGCAGGUGGUAUGAUUUGGUAACGUAUGGGUGGUAUGAUUCGAAAUUUGAAUCCUUAUUAUAAGUUACCUUUUUCCAUGUUCACCACAAAUAUCUGCUUGCAGAAACUACCAUAUCACAAUAACAGAUAGUACAUACAAAUUCCAGUGGUUGCUUCUACAGGCUGUUUUCCAGCAAUUUGAAGUGGUGGAUAUGGAAGUUCUGACAAACUGAAGAUGCAGCAGAACAUAAGCAGGUUCACAAGUUAGAAAAGCUUCAUAGAUCAACCUGCUGGUAAGGUUGAAAGCCCUUUCCACUUUGUCCUCCCAUCCAUUGUCUGUUCUCCCCUUAUCUUGUAAAAGCCUCUUGAUCAUUUUCAUCCAGCACUUUCAAAGGGGUAUGGUGCAUCGUCUGGAAGGUCAAACUGUUACAAGAUCAAAACUAGUUGAAACAGCCACACUUCUUAUUUCUGGGCAUGUUCUAUUCCUUUGUGUUUUCAUCUAUUGCCCAUUUUUGCAUAAAUCAAGUUCACAGACAACAUUGACUUUAUAGUUCCAUUUUCUUUUGUCCGAACAUACUUUUUUUUUCUAAUAUGGUUCAUACUUCAUGGACAAUAAAUUGUCUGAAGAUAGUAGAAAAUAUGUUGCUGAGAACACCUGCACCAGUAGGAAUAUGCUAUCAAAAGCUAUUUUACGUUAUGCGAGAGCUUGCGCUUUGAAUGGAUUAUGAAUGUGGCAAUCUUCUGAAGUUCACAGCACCUUUAAUAAUCACAUUCUCCAAAUUAACAGUCCUUUUCAGGCUUUCUUCUGAUAACAUAGUUGGAGAUAUUGACCUAUAGAAUUGAAUAAGUUCUUGUGCAUAAUUCAAGUGCUAUUGUCCUUUUAAUCUCUUUUAUGUGAUUGAUCUAAAGGUUACAAUUAAUUUGCACCCCGUUGUAUGAAUGUUGUGUGGUGAUUAUUCAUUGGAUUUACUAUCAUUAAUCAUGAUAGUAACUACUUAAACACCCUUCCCUUUUUUUUGUUGUAUGGAACUUGUCUGUACUGGAAUGGAUUGGUAAUUUAUGUCACACACAUAUUAAACUUGUUGCUAAUUCUGUAUAUUAUUAUUAAUCGACUACUGACAGAAUGUGCUUACAUUUAUUUGGAAGGUUUAGAUCUUACUUUUGCUUAUUAGGUCCUUAUUUUAACUAUUUUGUAAUCCAUAGUUAUUUCAUUAGAUCCUUAUUAGUCUUGUACCAACUGGUUGCUAGCCUUGGAUGUCCUUGAUAAAUUCCUUGAAGCAUAUCCAGCUGGUUAGCAGAAAGCUGAAGGCAGGUAUCACCUUUAUGUUGAGAUGUCUUCAUGGAAGAUACAAGUAGAUACUUUCAUGAAUCACUGUACUAUGCUAUCUCUUAAGAUCAUAUUUGUUAAAUGAGUUUGAAUCUAGCACUUUCACUGUUCUAUGCAGAUUAAUGCAGCAUUCAAGCAAUACCUGAAUUUACUGCACAUUCAUGGUCUCUUCCUUGUGACCCAACUUGACCAAGAAAGGAACUUUCUUUGGCUAAGUUGGAUGGGAAUAAAGGCCUUCCGUCAUGAUGAGGCAUCUUAAGGUUUGAUGUGAGAUGUUGGAAUGUGAUUCAUGGAUGUCGCAACCUCAAGGAAGAAAUUUGGGGAGUUAUCUUCACAACAGAUCCAUUGCAAUACAAAAAGAAUGAGAUAUCUGCAAAUUGCGGCGCCCACUUCACCGUAUCUGUCAUUUUCUAGUACCAAAAAGUCACCCCUUCGCGUGGCUUCCACACGCAAUGCACGCGCCAUUUCUCUAGUGCUCGGUUGUCACCUCUUUAAUCCUCAGAAGUACGAGUUAUUCGUAGUUCGUGCCUAUUAAUGGGUGUACAGCAUGCGAAAGCAAAAGAAAAACUAGAAUAAUGACAUCUAGAAGUUUCAUAUAGAUUCUUAAAAUUAUUCGAGUCAUUGUAAAUUUGAUCUUGUUGUUGACUGUAUUUAAAUA
Molecule: long non-coding RNA, 3897 nt
Organism: Musa acuminata AAA Group (dessert banana)
Lineage: Eukaryota; Viridiplantae; Streptophyta; Magnoliopsida; Zingiberales; Musaceae
Exons: 3
Source: RefSeq, a predicted model, not a curated record